AACGAACGCUGGCGGCACGCCUAACACAUGCAAGUCGAACGCUUGUCAUGCAGCAAUGUGUGACGGGAGUGGCGGACGGGUGAGUAACGCGUGGGAACCUGCCCAGAGGUGCGGAACAACCCCGGGAAACCGGGGCUAAUGCCGCAUGAUGCCGAGAGGCUAAAGAUUUAUCGCCUUUGGAGGGGCCCGCGUCGGAUUAGGUAGUUGGUGGGGUAAUGGCCUACCAAGCCUGCGAUCCGUAGCUGGUCUGAGGGGAUGGCCAGCCACACUGGGACUGGGAAGCGGCCCAGACUCCUACGGGAGGCAGCAGUGGGGAAGCGUGGACAAUGGGGGCAACCCUGAUCAGGCGAUGCCGCGUGGGUGAUGAAGGCCUUCGGGUUGUAAAGCCCUUUCGCCGGGGACGAUAGUGACGGUAACCGGAGAAGAAGCCUCGGCUAACUCCGUGCCAGCAGCCGCGGUAAGAC
This 464-nucleotide ribosomal RNA is filed under the name uncultured bacterium. RNAcentral's name for it is "bacterial SSU rRNA". It matches the Rfam family "Bacterial small subunit ribosomal RNA", at positions 28 to 526 of the family's 1533-position model. The record is from RNAcentral.